UACGUAGGGGCCAAGCGUUGUCCGGAUUUAUUGGGCGUAAAGAGCUCGUAGGCGGUUCGGCAAGUCGAAUGUGAAAUCUCCACGCUCAACGUGGAGGGGUCAUUCGAUACUGCCGUGACUCGAGUCCGGUAGGGGAGUGUGGAAUUCCCGGUGUAGCGGUGAAAUGCGCAGAUAUCAGGAGGAACACCGGUGGCGAAGGCGGGUCUCUGGGCCGUAACUGACGCUGAGGAGCGAAAGCAUGGGGAGCGAACAGG
RNAcentral lists this ribosomal RNA (254 nucleotides) under uncultured bacterium. Its description in RNAcentral is "partial 16S ribosomal RNA". It matches the Rfam family "Bacterial small subunit ribosomal RNA", at positions 524 to 776 of the family's 1533-position model. The record is from RNAcentral.